Molecule: microRNA precursor, 101 nt
Filed under: Lottia gigantea (owl limpet)
Lineage: Eukaryota; Metazoa; Mollusca; Gastropoda; Lottiidae
Description: microRNA lgi-mir-33 precursor
Gene: lgi-mir-33
Rfam family: mir-33 microRNA precursor family (bases 16-82)
Source: miRBase by way of RNAcentral
CGAACUAAGCAGUUGUGAUGGUGCAUUGUAGUUGCAUUGCAUUUGUUAUAAAUUAUGCAAUGCAUCUGCAGUGCAAACAUUACGAUUGAAACUAUCACCUA